Molecule: long non-coding RNA, 1925 nt
Filed under: Anas platyrhynchos (mallard)
Lineage: Eukaryota; Metazoa; Chordata; Aves; Anseriformes; Anatidae
Description: lncRNA (ENSAPLG00020013870.1)
Source: RNAcentral
AUGCUGGCAAGGAUCCUGCUCUGUGAGGUACUAGGAGGAGUCCAGCCACAGUCACCGGGUGAAUUGGUCUGGAAACAGGAGUGGAGCUGCCCCUGCCAUCCUGUGCCUGCCCACCUGAUUCGCGCUCCCCUGAGAAACUGCUGCUCUAGGACGAGCACCCUCCUUAAGCACAGUGAGUAUCAGCUAAGAAACCAGAUGAUCUCUCUAGCUUGUAAUGUGGCACUGAAGAAAGAUCGCCUAUGUAUUUAUACGUGUGUGCAGUCAGUGACAGAAAUACACGUGAAAGGAGAACUUGCUUUCAUUUUCUGUCACUGAGGUGAGAAGAAAAAGGAGCUCCCUGGCCCAGCUGGGGUGAGGAGAGGGAUAGCAGCAAUGGGGAAGGCUCUCAGGCUGCAGAGAGAGGGUUACAGAUAUGGGCUGGGUGCAGGAAAAGGACAAGGCGCACUGUACUCUGUGAGGCAACCUACCCAUUUGCUGUGGACAGACAGGAAAAAACAGCUGCUAAAAUGUAUACACAAGCAGCUCGGAGUGAGCACGUGGCAUUGUGGUAAUGCUGGGUGACAAGCACCUCUUGUUUAUUCUUAGUCUUGUUUGACUUAACCAAGGCAGUAGUAUGAGCUAGUAAUAAGCUAAAUAAAAAGAGAAUAAAAGAACUAGAUUUCUAUACUAAUAUUCACUCAUCCUGAAGCAUACAGGCCAAGUAAACAUAUUAACAGUGAGUCAUUGUUUCCUUUUAAUAUAACUACAUAACCCUUGCUGUUGUUACUUCUGUACUUCUCCAUCUUGGUCUUUUAGCUCUGUAAUGAAAAGGGAAAGAAGGGCUGAAUGGAAAGGUCUUGCCAUUCUUGGUGGAGGGCCUAAGGUUUUGUCCGGAUGUCUCUGCAAUGCUAACUGGGUAGAAAUGUAUCAGCUGUAUCAAAUAUAUAUUUAGAAUUACAUUUAUAGUAGAUGAAUAGCUUAGCAUGUUCUGGAAUUCACAGCGUAAAAAAUGUUACAAUGAAGGUUAACAAUCCACUUGCAUUUAUAUUUACUAAUAUGGUAUAAUUUAAAUUGUUUCUUAACCUAGAAGACUGCUUUUAAGGGGACAGAGCACAUGAUUUUUCCUGUGCAUGUGCCCCUGCCAGAGUAACACACACCAGCAGCAUGCCAAAACUUUGCAAAAAGUUCACAGUCAUGGUUCGUGUAAAGGCCUAGCUCUGUUUGAGUGGGACCAGCAGAAAGCAGCAGUGAUGCUUAUGAAUAUACAAGAUAACAAUAACAGGCUUCAGAAAAGUGCAGAUGAGUUGCAUCCUUUCCUCAAACAAUCUUGGGUGCAAGUAAUUGUCCAGGAAGCAGGUAACCUUUGAAUGUGUCAUUGAUCCCACUACUUUAUCCAUUUCUCCUUUGCCUCCUGUGGUUUUGAUCAGCUUAUAAGGCCACAGAACAAUGUCAGUAAAAAUUGUUGCUUUGUGUUAUCUCAACUGCAUUGUGAGCUUGCCACUGAGAGCACGGAAGGCAGAAAAUCCUCUUUAGUUAAAAGUUGCUGGACCCUCUUCUGUUGCUGACAUAGUUAAUUUUGCGACAGAACAAACCUGCCUUUUUCUCAACGUAGCAAUGUUGAGUAGAAGGUGAACUGUGUGGCCCAGCUGACGGAGCGCUGUUGUGGCUGAAUGAGAUGUGGCCACUGGCCCACUGGCUCCAGAGGUUUACCUCCCCAGUGACCUGUUCUAGGUGCUCUGGCACAGCUGCAGGUAAACCCGGGGUGUUCAGCUGUUCAAAGAGCUUCCCAGCAGAUUCUCUUAAUGCUUAUCAGCCAACAAUUAACUUGUGCUCUACAACACAGGUGUUUUUUAACUCUUUCAUUUUGUAAAAUAUCACAAUGAAUAUUCAUAUUUCCAUAUAAAUGUUUGUUUCUUGAAUUCACUGAGAUCUUCAUUCCAACAACG